Molecule: ribosomal RNA, 250 nt
Filed under: uncultured bacterium
Lineage: Bacteria
Description: partial 16S ribosomal RNA
Rfam family: Bacterial small subunit ribosomal RNA
Source: RNAcentral
UACGUAGGGUGCGAGCGUUAAUCGGAAUUACUGGGCGUAAAGCGUGCGUAGGCGGUCCCGCAAGUCCGCUGUGAAAGCCCCGAGCUUAACUUGGGAACUGCAGUGGAAACUAUGGGACUUGAAUCCGGCAGAGGGGGGUGGAAUGCCACGUGUAGCAGUGAAAUGCGUAGAGAUGUGGCGGAACACCGAUGGCGAAGGCAGCCCCCUGGGCUGAGAUUGACGCUCAGGCACGAAAGCGUGGGGAGCAAAC